AUUUGAUAGUACCUUACUACAUGGAUACCUGUGGUAAUUCUAGAGCUAAUACAUGCUAAAAACCCCGACUUCAGGAAGGGGUGUAUUUAUUAGAUAAAAAACCAACGCCCUUCGGGGCUCCUUGGUGAAUCAUAAUAACUUAACGAAUCGCAUGGCCUUGCGCCGGCGAUGGUUCAUUCAAAUUUCUGCCCUAUCAACUUUCGAUGGUAGGAUAGUGGCCUACCAUGGUGGCAACGGGUAACGGGGAAUUAGGGUUCGAUUCCGGAGAGGGAGCCUGAGAAACGGCUACCACAUCCAAGGAAGGCAGCAGGCGCGCAAAUUACCCAAUCCCGAUACGGGGAGGUAGUGACAAUAAAUACUGAUACGGGGCUCUUUUGGGUCUCGUAAUUGGAAUGAGAACAAUUUAAAUCCCUUAACGAGGAACAAUUGGAGGGCAAGUCUGGUGCCAGCAGCCGCGGUAAUUCCAGCUCCAAUAGCGUAUAUUAAAGUUGUUGCAGUUAAAAAGCUCGUAGUUGAACCUUGGGUCUGGCUGGCCGGUCCGCCUCACCGCGAGUACUGGUCCGGCUGGACCUUUCCUUCUGGGGAACCUCAUGGCCUUCACUGGCUGUGGGGGGAACCAGGACUUUUACUGUGAAAAAAUUAGAGUGUUCAAAGCAGGCCUUUGCUCGAAUACAUUAGCAUGGAAUAAUAGAAUAGGACGUGUGGUUCUAUUUUGUUGGUUUCUAGGACCGCCGUAAUGAUUAAUAGGGAUAGUCGGGGGCGUCAGUAUUCAGCUGUCAG
Molecule: ribosomal RNA, 780 nt
Filed under: Penicillium chrysogenum
Lineage: Eukaryota; Fungi; Ascomycota; Eurotiomycetes; Eurotiales; Aspergillaceae
Also listed under: 2 other names
Description: SSU rRNA
Rfam family: Eukaryotic small subunit ribosomal RNA
Source: RNAcentral